This 201-nucleotide unclassified non-coding RNA is filed under the name Hevea brasiliensis (rubber tree). Lineage: Eukaryota; Viridiplantae; Streptophyta; Magnoliopsida; Malpighiales; Euphorbiaceae. The record is from RNAcentral.
UUUAUACUCUCUCACCGUCUCCGUCACACUUCUCUCACUGCCACACCUCACGUCGCACCUCUCCGCCACAACUCUCAUCGUCACUACCUCACAACUCUAUAAACUUCAGCCACUCACCAUAUUCGGAAUGGGAUUGGAGUUCUAGGAUAAUGUUUUUGACUUCUCAUCUAUUUGAAAAAUGAACUCACGUCACCUCUUUGG